AAUAAGGAGUCGAGGGGCGGGGGAAGAGGGAGCAAGGGAGGGAGGGAGUCGCCACCUCAAAUCCACGCCGGACCAGGAAUCUCCAGCCCACAACCUGAUCCCUGCCCUCCCCAAGAGCGGACCGGCUACCAGGCCUAGAACGUGGGUAAUCCCUAAAAAAAAAGAGGAUGAAGCUGAAAAACUGCCCUUCACGAAUGACAUGGGCAUACUUUGGAACUAUAACACUGAAAAGUACAGUGAAGUCAAAUAAAAAUGUUAGAAGCC
Molecule: long non-coding RNA, 264 nt
Filed under: Ictidomys tridecemlineatus (thirteen-lined ground squirrel)
Lineage: Eukaryota; Metazoa; Chordata; Mammalia; Rodentia; Sciuridae
Description: lncRNA (ENSSTOG00000030152.1)
Source: RNAcentral